This 273-nucleotide ribosomal RNA is filed under the name uncultured bacterium. RNAcentral's name for it is "partial 16S ribosomal RNA". It matches the Rfam family "Bacterial small subunit ribosomal RNA", at positions 1219 to 1500 of the family's 1533-position model. The record is from RNAcentral.
CACGUGUUACAAUGGGUGAUACAGAGGGCCGGCCGCUGGCAACAUCGGUCCAAUCCUUAAAGUCAUCCUCAGUUCGGACUGGGGUCUGCAACCCGACCCCACGAAGCUGGAUCCGCUAGUAAUCGCGCAUCAGCCAUGGCGCGGUGAAUACGUUCCCGGGCCUUGUACACACCGCCCGUCAAGCCAUGAAAGCCGGGGGCGCCUGAAGUCCGUGACCGCGAGGGUCGGCCUAGGGUGAAACCGGUGAUUGGGGCUAAGUCGUAACAAGGUACC